RNAcentral lists this ribosomal RNA (508 nucleotides) under uncultured Glomeraceae. RNAcentral's name for it is "SSU rRNA". It matches the Rfam family "Eukaryotic small subunit ribosomal RNA", at positions 569 to 1082 of the family's 1831-position model. The record is from RNAcentral. Lineage: Eukaryota; Fungi; Glomeromycota; Glomeromycetes; Glomerales; Glomeraceae.
AGCAGCCGCGGUAAUUCCAGCUCCAAUAGCGUAUAUUAAAGUUGUUGCAGUUAAAAAGCUCGUAGUUGAAUUUCGGGGUCAGUAGGUUGGUCGUGCCACCGGUACGUACUGGUCUCACUGAUUCCUCCUUCCUGAUGAGCUGUAAUGCCAUUAAUUUGGUGUUGCAGGGAAUCUGGACUGUUACUUUGAAAAAUUAGAGUGUUUAAAGCAGGCUAACGCUUGAAUACAUUAGCAUGGAAUAAUGAAAUAGGACGUUCGAUCCUAUUUUGUUGGUUUCUAGGAUUGACGUAAUGAUUAAUAGGGAUAGUUGGGGGCAUUAGUAUUCAAUUGUCAGAGGUGAAAUUCUUGGAUUUAUUGAAGACUAACUACUGCGAAAGCAUUUGCCAAGGAUGUUUUCAUUAAUCAAGAACGAAAGUUAGGGGAUCGAAGACGAUCAGAUACCGUCGUAGUCUUAACCAUAAACUAUGCCGACUAGGGAUCGGAUGAUGUUAAUUUUUUAAUGUACUCA